CCAAGCGGCAUACCCCUUCCUGGCCGACUCCACUGGACGCUGCGCUUGCUACUCGUCAGUCUCACUGUAGGAUUCACUGCGGCACAGCCUUAUUAACAAAAUGAAAAAAGAAAGGUUGCUUCUUAUGCAUCUGCCAGAAGUUCAGCAAAACAAGGAAAACUAUGGCAAAGGUGGUGGACGAAAGCGAAAGGAAAAACGCCAACGCAGUGACUGUAUUCAAAAAUAAAAAAGGACCAUGGUUCCACAUCAUGACGUAGAAGGUACCGACAACUGUGCAGACCACGUAGAGAUUAUGGCUGCUGAAUGCUCCAAGGCUGCAACAGAUGUGAA
Molecule: long non-coding RNA, 330 nt
Organism: Ixodes scapularis (black-legged tick)
Lineage: Eukaryota; Metazoa; Arthropoda; Arachnida; Ixodida; Ixodidae
Exons: 3
Source: RefSeq, a predicted model, not a curated record